Molecule: ribosomal RNA, 253 nt
Filed under: uncultured bacterium
Lineage: Bacteria
Description: partial 16S ribosomal RNA
Rfam family: Bacterial small subunit ribosomal RNA
Source: RNAcentral
UACGUAGGGUGCGAGCGUUGUCCGGAAUUAUUGGGCGUAAAGGGCUCGUAGGCGGUUUGUCGCGUCGGGAGUGAAAACACCGGGCUUAACUCGGUGCUUGCUUUCGAUACGGGCAGACUAGAGGUAUUCAGGGGAGAACGGAAUUCCUGGUGUAGCGGUGAAAUGCGCAGAUAUCAGGAGGAACACCGGUGGUGAAGGCGGUUCUCUGGGAAUAUCCUGACGCUGAGGAGCGAAAGUGUGGGGAGCGAACAGG